RNAcentral lists this transfer RNA (74 nucleotides) under Rhododendron molle. Its description in RNAcentral is "tRNA-Met". It matches the Rfam family "tRNA". From Rfam's summary of the family: Transfer RNA (tRNA) molecules are approximately 80 nucleotides in length. Their secondary structure includes four short double-helical elements and three loops (D, anti-codon, and T loops). Further hydrogen bonds mediate the characteristic L-shaped molecular structure. tRNAs have two regions of fundamental functional importance: the anti-codon, which is responsible for specific mRNA codon recognition, and the 3' end, to which the tRNAs corresponding amino acid is attached (by aminoacyl-tRNA synthetases). tRNAs cope with the degeneracy of the genetic code in two manners: having more than one tRNA (with a specific anti-codon) for a particular amino acid; and 'wobble' base-pairing, i.e. permitting non-standard base-pairing at the 3rd anti-codon position. Lineage: Eukaryota; Viridiplantae; Streptophyta; Magnoliopsida; Ericales; Ericaceae. The record is from RNAcentral.
AGCGGGGUAGAGGAAUUGGUCAACUCAUCAAACUCAUGAUUUGAAGGCUGCAGGUUCGAAUCCUGUCCCCGCCU